Oryza brachyantha (malo sina) is the source of this 1037-nucleotide long non-coding RNA. RefSeq lists it as uncharacterized. NCBI's taxonomy places the organism in Eukaryota, Viridiplantae, Streptophyta, Magnoliopsida, Poales, Poaceae. The transcript is spliced from 3 exons. The record is from RefSeq and is a predicted model, not a curated record.
UCGAGCCUCCGGGAAUCAUAGUGGGUGAGCCGUGAGUACAGUGCGCUGCUCCCCUACACGUAUGGCUAGCUUGUGAUUAAUUAAAACCACCAGUAACACUUAACAGCACAGCACCGAAGAUAUAUAAGUUAUCUCUCUGAUCAUCGCACGACAGGCGCGUCGUACAGACAGGUCGCCGGCGAUGAUCACCGGCCGACGGCCGCUGGCCCGAUUACGCGCGAUAGUCCUGCUGGCUCUCGUGAUGAUCGGCGAUGGCAUCCUCGUCGUGCCGGCGUCUGGGAGCUCGGGCAAAACCGGCGGCACGGGAAAAGAUCGACCAUUUGGUACCGGUGGUCCGACUACCGCAUCACCGUAUAACAGGCCAUAUGUUUAUGCUGCUCUAUCUAGAGGCAACCCCGUUUGCAGAGGUACAUGCGCCCCAGGUGGUAGUACUUACACCAGGGGACGACCUCACUCCGGCGGCUAGCACGACUCAUGCAUGACAGGUCCCGGAGGGCACCGGUGGUGGCGGCGAAUGAAGAAUGCUCGUGUCUUAGUUAGCGGAGAAGGGCGCACAAGCAGCAGGCGAUCGUUAAUAUGCCCUUCUGUAGUUGAUUCUCAUUGUAAGGGUAACUACCUGAAAUCGUCGCUGAGAAUUAUGAUGUAUCAAUGUCUAGUUAUAGUUGUUGACUGGUUUCUAUAAUAAGAUGAUUUUGUAAAUAUAAAAGUCUAGAACUGUUGAUUAAUUAUAUACUGCCUCCAGUUUUUUUUAUCGAAAAUACUAGUACACAUAUUUCAGCCUGGGACAGAAUACUUAAUGGAGCGCCAUACUUCUCAUCCUACUUAAGGCCACCCAUUCAGCCAUCAACGGCGUUCGUGGCCAUACAGGCACUUGCAGGGGCCACCACCUCCUACAUGCAUGUUGAUGCACUGGAGCCCCAACAUCAUCAUCUCCCGUGGAGGAAAUAUCAAUGUUACGGUGCACCUGCUUUACUAUCUUAAAGAUGUAGGUCUUAUAGGUCUUGAUGCUCUCCUCCACAGAGGCAUGAGGAACCGGA